Molecule: ribosomal RNA, 270 nt
Filed under: uncultured prokaryote
Description: partial 16S ribosomal RNA
Rfam family: Archaeal small subunit ribosomal RNA
Source: RNAcentral
AACCAGCUCUUCGAGUGGUUGGGACUUUUAUUGGGCCUAAAGCGUGCGUAGCCUGACCCGUAAGCCCCUGGUUAAAUCCGACAGCUCAACUGUUUGGGCCGCUAGGGGUACUGCGGGUCUUGGAGGCGGGAGAGGUGAGCGGUACUUCAUGGGUAGGGGUGAAAUCCUGUCAUCCAUGGGGGACCACCGAUGGCGAAGGCAGCUCACUAGAACGCGCUCGACGGUGAGGCACGAAACCCAGGGGAGCGAACCGGAUUAGAUACCCCCGUA